RNAcentral lists this ribosomal RNA (244 nucleotides) under uncultured bacterium. RNAcentral's name for it is "partial 16S ribosomal RNA". It matches the Rfam family "Bacterial small subunit ribosomal RNA", at positions 91 to 334 of the family's 1533-position model. The record is from RNAcentral.
CCGACCGGCGCACGGGUGAGUAACGCGUAUGCAACUUACCUAUCAGAGGGGGAUAACCCGGCGAAAGUCGGACUAAUACCGCAUGAAGCGGGGGCCCCGCAUGGGGAUAUUUGCUAAAGAUUCAUCGCUGAUAGAUAGGCAUGCGUUCCAUUAGGCAGUUGGCGGGGUAACGGCCCACCUAGUCAACGAUGGAUAGGGGUUCUGAGAGGAAGGUCCCCCACAUUGGAACUGAGACACGGUCCAA